AUAGAGUAAAACAAAUGACGCCUG
Molecule: non-coding RNA, 24 nt
Filed under: Arabidopsis thaliana (thale cress)
Lineage: Eukaryota; Viridiplantae; Streptophyta; Magnoliopsida; Brassicales; Brassicaceae
Source: RNAcentral